RNAcentral lists this unclassified non-coding RNA (392 nucleotides) under soil metagenome. RNAcentral describes it as "partial contains 5.8S ribosomal RNA, internal transcribed spacer 2, and large subunit ribosomal RNA". The stretch from base 1 to 120 matches the Rfam family "5.8S ribosomal RNA", at positions 35 to 154 of the family's 154-position model. The record is from RNAcentral.
GAUGAAGAACGUAGUGAAAUGCGAUAAGUAAUGUGAAUUGCAGAAUUCAGUGAAUCAUCGAAUCUUUGAACGCAUCUUGCGCUCCUUGGUAUUCCGAGGAGCAUGCCUGUUUGAGUGUCAUUUAACUUCUCAACCACAUUGGAUAUUUUUUUUCCGAUGCCGGCUUGGAUGUGGGGGUUGUUUGCAGGCUUUUUGUAACAAAAAAGGUCGGCUCCCCUGAAAUGUAUUAGUGGUAUCUGAGGCUAUUACUAUUAGGUGUGAUAAUUAUCUAUGCCUUUUGGGUAUGCCGCAUGAACAGAUUAUGCUGCUUCUAACGAAAACUAUUUUGAUGAAUUUGACCUCCAAUCAGGUAGGACUACCCGCUGAACUUAAGCAUAUCAAUAAGCGGAGGA